GGGGAAUAUUGCGCAAUGGGGGGAACCCUGACGCAGCAACGCCGCGUGGAGGAAGAAGGUCCUCGGAUUGUAAACUCCUGUCUUCUGGGACGAUAAUGACGGUACCAGAGGAGGAAGCCACGGCUAACUACGUGCCAGCAGCCGCGGUAAUACGUAGGUGGCGAGCGUUGUCCGGAAUUACUGGGCGUAAAGAGCGCGUAGGCGGUUUUUUAAGUCAGAUGUGAAAAUCCAGGGCUUAACUCUGGGCGUGCAUUUGAAACUGGGGAACUAGAGUGCAGGAGAGGUAAGUGGAAUUCCUAGUGUAGCGGUGAAAUGUGUAGAUAUUAGGAGGAACACCAGUGGCGAAGGCGACUUACUGGACUGUAACUGACGCUGAGGCGCGAAAGCGUGGGUAGCGAAC
Molecule: ribosomal RNA, 400 nt
Filed under: uncultured bacterium
Lineage: Bacteria
Description: bacterial SSU rRNA
Rfam family: Bacterial small subunit ribosomal RNA
Source: RNAcentral